UCACUGCAGGGCAUUUGGUUAACUGUCCUAAAGUGACACAUGAUGUUAAUAAAAAUGAUAAUGUGGUCACAGUCAGUGAAUUCCUGAAGCAGGGCACUCUGGUCAGUCAGCACUUCACUUUAAAAGUGGUCAGAACGUGGUCACAUGAAAGUGAUCCACGCUCAGACUUAUUAUAUGAGAAAAGAGCGGUGUGACCACAAUGCUGGGCCCUGCCGUUGUGUAGUCUGCAGCCGAAGAAAAAGUAUGCACACUGCUGGAGCUUCUUUAGACUCUGGGUUUGAAGUGAUUCCAAGUCAAACAUGAGUAACUGAGGUAACACCCUGUGUGUGGGAUGGCACCGUGCCCCAACUGGUUCGGUCUCUACCCGCCCACGCUGGCCUCCCAAACCUCUGGACUACAUCACUCUCAGUUCCCAAAACACUCUCCACCUUCCCUUAUCUCUCUCCCAAACCCGGCUUUCCAACCUCCCGCCUGUGCUUCUCCAAGCUGGGCACGGAGCCCAGACUCCAUGAGCGGCUUCACCCGCCUCCCCACCUCCGUGCCCUUUGCCUCUGCUAUCGCACAGUAUAAGAUCCAGACCUUCUCGGACUGCACUUAGCUCAGAGGCUAACACUAACCAGCCGCAGAUGUUUACACUGGGGGAGAGGGGGCAGCAGAUGAGCUCUCACUCAAUAAAACUUGCAUCUCUGCCUUUGUGUCGCUCCUUUUCGGACUCUUUCAGAACCCGGGCGGCUCUUCAGACCUCAGUUUAUUCUCUGCUUGGUCA
Long non-coding RNA from Oryzias latipes (Japanese medaka), 766 nucleotides. RefSeq lists it as uncharacterized. Lineage: Eukaryota; Metazoa; Chordata; Actinopteri; Beloniformes; Adrianichthyidae. The record is from RefSeq and is a predicted model, not a curated record.